RNAcentral lists this non-coding RNA (45 nucleotides) under Schistosoma curassoni. Lineage: Eukaryota; Metazoa; Platyhelminthes; Trematoda; Strigeidida; Schistosomatidae. The record is from RNAcentral.
AUCCAGCUGACGAGUCCAAAAUAGGACGAGACUUGCGUCCUGAAU